CAAUUUUCCGCGCGGAGCGGAAUUUCUCUUUGUCUUUUCUAAUUAGUUCCACCUGAGAAAUCGCAAGACAAAGAAAAAUUCCGCUUCGCGCGGAUUUAAGAUUC
Paramuricea clavata is the source of this 104-nucleotide non-coding RNA. The record is from the annotation of a GenBank genome assembly. Lineage: Eukaryota; Metazoa; Cnidaria; Anthozoa; Malacalcyonacea; Plexauridae.